CCAAGUUGCUUUGGGAAUCUUACCUCUCUAACAGCUUGAUAGCAAUAAUUUAACUUCAAGUAUGCCCUUAAGGAGGACAUGUUGGUUUUUAACUUGUCAUCAAAUUCACUAGGUGGCCAUCUGAAUUGGAAAUUUAGAGGUCUUAUAUCAAAUGGACUUGUCAAAGAAUAAUUUCUUUGGUGGUAUUCCAAGUGAGAUCUGUGCUCUCCAACAGUUGAUAAUUUAUCUCUCUUUAGCACAUAAUAAAUUCCAAGGACCUAUACCAGGUCCAAUUGGGAGCACCUGGAUCUCUCGAAUAGCAUACUCUCUGCUGUGAUUCCCAAGAUUGUAAAUGGCCCUCUGCAAGGAAUUUCUCCUUCUAGUCUGUUGUAAGACAUACUUGGAAACAGCUCUUUUAUGCACAAUCUUGGACCCUGCGUAGCUCCUCAACUAGGCUUCAAUAAGAUUUCUGAAAUAUGUUGUGCCGGCUACAGCUUCAGCAAUAUUGGUACUAGCCCUUGUAUAUGUGCUGGCAAGGCGGCAAAGAAAAAAGGAGAACAGUCCUUUCUCUACUCAACCUGAUUUGCUACAUAUGGCAACAUAUAGAAGGUUUUCAUACCAGGAACUCACGCAGGCUACAAAUGGAUUAGACGAAAGUAAACUACUUUUGGAUAGAGAGGGAUAAUUGGUAUGGCUGUUGCAGUAAAGGUAUUCAAUUUGCAACUAGUUUUGACGCAGAAUGUGAAGUUCUUUGAAGCAUUCGUCACAGAAAUCUUAUCAAAAUUAUCAACAGCUGUGCCAAUGUUGACAUCAAAGCAUUGGUUAUGGAGUUCAUGCCCAAUGGAAACCUUGAGGCAUUGUUGCACUCUAAUUCCUAUUGCUUGGAUAUGCUACAGAGGUUAAACAGCUUGAGUCUGGAUCACAGGGAAUAGUGUCUUAUGGAAUCAUGUUGAUGGAAACAUUUACAAGGAAGAAGCCCACAGGAGAAAUGUGCUUGAAAGAUUGGGUAUUAGACUCAUUGCAGAGUGGUGAGGUGAUGAAUUCCAAACACAAAUGAGAGUGAUCUCGCAGCUAAUGUGUAUCAUCUGUCAUGAGUUUGGCUUGUGAAACGAGGAUCAACAUUCUGCACAGGCUGAAGAAAAUAAAGGACAAGUAUGAAAAGAACAUGCAAGCCAAUUGCAAAUUACCAUAAAAUCUUUUCUUUUUCUCUACAAAAGUGGAAUUCUUUUUGCUUCUAUAAUGGUUAAGCUACUAUAUAGUCUCAACUUAUGCUUACGUAAAACAAUUUAUUCCUCGAAAUUCUGGAGUGUACGAACUAGUUUUAGGAAAAGUAGUGUCCUUUGUAG
This is an RNA transcript of Hevea brasiliensis (rubber tree), 1325 nucleotides long. RefSeq lists it as uncharacterized. The transcript is spliced from 2 exons. Lineage: Eukaryota; Viridiplantae; Streptophyta; Magnoliopsida; Malpighiales; Euphorbiaceae. The record is from RefSeq and is a predicted model, not a curated record.